AGGUGACCUUUUGAACGAGUGAAGCCGGAAAUCACGGGUAAAAAUCACAUGGGCCUGUGUACAGAGCGCGCGUCUCAGGAGAGACUCCAGUUUUCGUCAGACGGUCAAGGGAGCAGUGACCACCCCCCACCCCCCAAGCAGUAAGAACAAGUCACCUGAGGCCGAUCUUCUGCCCGGGCCACCGGCCCCACCCCAGAAGCCGCCACAGGAAACUUUCAAGCGCUAAUUCGAAAAAGAAAUGUUUACAGGACUUCCGCCAAGUCAAAGAAAAGGACUGCUCGGUGCCCCGCUCCUCACCCCGACCCACCCCACGACACAGCCGCCACGGCCGCCCCACACGUCCAGCCCAGGUCCACGGCCUUCCCUCCGGCCACCAUGGCCUCCCUCGCCCCGCUGGUCCCCGUGGCCCCAGAAGUGCCCACGUCCCUCACUGCCCGUCGGCCAGGGCCCUCGCUGUGGGCACCCAAGCACUCGGCCGUCCACCUGAGGAGCGUCCCUCAAGUCCGGGUCCCGCGCCGAGCCCUGCGUGCCUGCGGUCUCUGGUCGUCAAACCCACCGGGUGGGGUGGCAUUUUUAUGAAGUUCACACGGUGACAAUUAUGCUUCCACAGUAAAACUUUAACCAUGCUCUACUCCUCCUCCCCUCCCCCACUGCCCGUUCCAGACGCCAGGACCCCUCCCCGCGCGCUUCACCCCACGGCCAGGGUGGGGGUGCUGCCCCCUCCGCUGCGCCCCUCCUCUCCGGAGCCGGCCCCCUGCGGGACCACCGGCCUCCC
Molecule: long non-coding RNA, 775 nt
Filed under: Lynx canadensis (Canada lynx)
Lineage: Eukaryota; Metazoa; Chordata; Mammalia; Carnivora; Felidae
Description: lncRNA (ENSLCNG00005003185.1)
Source: RNAcentral